RNAcentral lists this ribosomal RNA (497 nucleotides) under uncultured bacterium. RNAcentral describes it as "partial 16S ribosomal RNA". It matches the Rfam family "Bacterial small subunit ribosomal RNA", at positions 28 to 507 of the family's 1533-position model. The record is from RNAcentral.
GAUGAACGCUGGCGGCGUGCCUAAUACAUGCAAGUCGAGCGAACAGACGAGGAGAUUGCUCCUCAGACGUUAGCGGCGGACGGGUGAGUAACACGUGGAUAAUCUACCUAUAUGACUGGGAUAACUUCGGGAAACCGGAGCUAAUACCGGAUAAUAUAUUGAACCGUAUGGUUCAAUAGUGAAAGACGGUUUUGCUGUCAAUUAUAGAUGGAUCCGCGCCGCAUUAGCUAGUUGGUAAGGUAACGGCUUACCAAGGUAACGCUGCGUAGCCGACCUGAGAGGGUGAGCGGCCACACUGGAACUGAGACACGGUCCAGACUCCUACGGGAGGCAGCGGUAGGGAAUCUUCCGCAAUUGGCGAAAGCCUGACGGAGCAACGCCGCGGUAGGGAUGAAGGUCUUCGGAUCGUAAAACUCUGUUAUUAGGGAAGAACAAAUGUGUAAGUAACUAUGCACGUCUUGACGGUACCUAAUCAGAAAGCCACGGCUAACUACGUG